This 565-nucleotide ribosomal RNA is filed under the name Acinetobacter baumannii OIFC109. RNAcentral's name for it is "bacterial SSU rRNA". It matches the Rfam family "Bacterial small subunit ribosomal RNA", at positions 138 to 696 of the family's 1533-position model. Lineage: Bacteria; Pseudomonadati; Pseudomonadota; Gammaproteobacteria; Moraxellales; Moraxellaceae. The record is from RNAcentral.
GGGGGACAACAUCUCGAAAGGGAUGCUAAUACCGCAUACGUCCUACGGGAGAAAGCAGGGGAUCUUCGGACCUUGCGCUAAUAGAUGAGCCUAAGUCGGAUUAGCUAGUUGGUGGGGUAAAGGCCUACCAAGGCGACGAUCUGUAGCGGGUCUGAGAGGAUGAUCCGCCACACUGGGACUGAGACACGGCCCAGACUCCUACGGGAGGCAGCAGUGGGGAAUAUUGGACAAUGGGGGGAACCCUGAUCCAGCCAUGCCGCGUGUGUGAAGAAGGCCUUAUGGUUGUAAAGCACUUUAAGCGAGGAGGAGGCUACUUUAGUUAAUACCUAGAGAUAGUGGACGUUACUCGCAGAAUAAGCACCGGCUAACUCUGUGCCAGCAGCCGCGGUAAUACAGAGGGUGCGAGCGUUAAUCGGAUUUACUGGGCGUAAAGCGUGCGUAGGCGGCUUAUUAAGUCGGAUGUGAAAUCCCCGAGCUUAACUUGGGAAUUGCAUUCGAUACUGGUGAGCUAGAGUAUGGGAGAGGAUGGUAGAAUUUCCAGGUGUAGCGGUGAAAUGCGUAGAGA